This 84-nucleotide transfer RNA is filed under the name Felis catus (domestic cat). It matches the Rfam family "tRNA". Rfam says of the family: Transfer RNA (tRNA) molecules are approximately 80 nucleotides in length. Lineage: Eukaryota; Metazoa; Chordata; Mammalia; Carnivora; Felidae. The record is from Rfam by way of RNAcentral. RNAcentral also lists the same sequence under 2 other names.
GCCUGGGUGGCUCAGUUGGUUGAGCAUCUGACUGUGGCUCAGGUCUUGAUCUUGCGUUCGUGAGUUCAAGCCCCGCGUUGGGCU